Molecule: ribosomal RNA, 439 nt
Filed under: uncultured bacterium
Lineage: Bacteria
Description: partial 16S ribosomal RNA
Rfam family: Bacterial small subunit ribosomal RNA
Source: RNAcentral
CUACGGGGUGCAGCAGUGGGGAAUAUUGCACAAUGGAGGGAACUCUGAUGCAGCGAUGCCGCGUGAGGGAAGAAGGUUUUCGGAUUGUAAACCUCUGUCUUCAGGGACGAUAAUGACGGUACCUGAGGAGGAAGCUCCGGCUAACUACGUGCCAGCAGCCGCGGUAAUACGUAGGGAGCGAGCGUUGUCCGGAAUUACUGGGUGUAAAGGGAGCGUAGGCGGGACUGCAAGUCAGAUGUGAAAACUAUGGGCUUAACCCAUAGACUGCAUUUGAAACUGUGGUUCUUGAGUGAAGUAGAGGUUGGCGGAAUUCCUAGUGUAGCGGUGAAAUGCGUAGAUAUUAGGAGGAACAUCAGUGGCGAAGGCGGCCAACUGGGCUUUUACUGACGCUGAGGCUCGAAAGCGUGGGGAGCAAACAGGAUUAGAUACCCCCGUAGUC